UACAGAGGUCUCAAGCGUUGUUCGGAUUCAUUGGGCGUAAAGGGUGCGUAGGCGGCGCCGUAAGUCGGGUGUGAAAUCUCGGGGCUUAACUCCGAAACUGCAUUCGAUACUGCCGUGCUUGAGGACUGGAGAGGAGACUGGAAUUUACGGUGUAGCGGUGAAAUGCGCAGAUAUCAGGAGGAACACCAGCGGCGAAGGCGGCGCUCUGGGCCGGUACUGACACUGAGGAGCGAAAGCGUGGGUAGCAAACAGG
RNAcentral lists this ribosomal RNA (253 nucleotides) under uncultured bacterium. RNAcentral describes it as "partial 16S ribosomal RNA". It matches the Rfam family "Bacterial small subunit ribosomal RNA", at positions 524 to 776 of the family's 1533-position model. The record is from RNAcentral.